AUUUAAACUUAUUGAAGGAGAGAAAGUCCGUAAAAGGUUACAUAAUACAAUCUUGGUAAGGCUCAUACUGCCAGAAUUUUUACUGUUUUGGUGUAAUAUAUAUUUAGCUUAGAGAACUCUGUUAUGCUUCAGGAACUGAAGGGGAACAUCCGUGUAUUUUGUCGAGUGCGGCCUCUGUUGCCUGAUGAUAGUCCUUGUGCUGAAGGCAAGGUUGUAUCUUAUCCCACAACAACAGAAGCUCUUGGGCGAG
RNAcentral lists this unclassified non-coding RNA (250 nucleotides) under Hevea brasiliensis (rubber tree). The record is from RNAcentral. Lineage: Eukaryota; Viridiplantae; Streptophyta; Magnoliopsida; Malpighiales; Euphorbiaceae.